This is a non-coding RNA of Kogia breviceps (pygmy sperm whale), 1799 nucleotides long. Lineage: Eukaryota; Metazoa; Chordata; Mammalia; Artiodactyla; Physeteridae. The record is from RefSeq and is a predicted model, not a curated record.
ACUGAGGCCCUGAGAGGGAAAGUCACUUGCCUAAAGGCACACAGCUAAAGAAGUAGCCAAGCGACUUUCCUGGUGGUCCAGCAGCUAAGGCUCUGUGCUCCCAAUGCAGGGGGCCCGGGGUUUGAUCCCUGGUCAGGCAACUAGAUCCCACGUGCCGCAACUAAAGUUCCCGCAUGCUGCAACUAAAGAUCCCGCACGCGGCAAUGAAGAUCCCGCAUGCUGCAACUAAGACCCGGCACAGCCAAAUAAGCAAAUACUAAAAAAAAAAAAGAAGAAGUAGUCAAGGCUGGAAUAUGAACUCAGGUCUGACUCUAAGGCCUGUGUUCUUUGCCCUGUGUGACUCCCAUCUCUCAUCCCCACCUGACCCUUAUCUACUUCUGCAGCAUCCCCCAUACCACAACCUCCACCCUUCCCCACACAGGACCCAGGGAAAGGAGAGCAAGCACGAAUCUUUGGAUGAAUUGCAAGACGACAGCCUUGUGUUACUUAUUGCUGAGCAGACCACUGGGAUAUUUUAAAGCUAGUGUUACUAAACUUUUUUCUCCCUAACCAAGAUGAAGAGUUUCUCAGCCUCAGCACUAUUGAUAUUUUGGGCAGGAUAAUUCUUUGUCGUCAGGGGCUGUCCUGUGCAUUGUAGGAUGUUUAGCAGCAUCCGUGGCCUCUACUCAUCAUAUGUCAGUAGUACCAUGCCUCACCCCCAGCCCCGCCCCCAGGUUGUGACAACCAAAAGUGUGUCCAGUCAUUGCCAAAUGUUCACUGUGGGGACAAAAUCCACUCCAGUUGAGAACCACUGAGUUAGACAAAAGAUAAAACAGCAGCUGUUUCAAAAAAGCAGGUCUUAUAAAUAAAAUGUACCAGGGAGGAAUAAGUCCCCUCUUCUGAAGUAGCUUGGGGGAGAUAAAUGACUGAGCCCUAGGCUUCUGCUUCUGAUGCAAGAGGGGGCUGCAGAGGAAGCUUCUAAGGCCUGAAUCCCAGUCAGGAGCCGGGCCUGUGGUGUGGUGAUCCUCUGAGGCCUGACUUCCCUGGGCAUAACUGGCUUUACCGGUACCCAGCUCUAUCAAAUCAGAGUCCAGGAGGGGUCAGUGAUGUUAUAUUUACUGCCAUCCCCAAAGGGGAUGCCCCAACUGCAAAAGGAACUUGCUCAGAGCCAAGGUGGGAAAAGACAUGCAACUCCUCUCCGAUUUUACAGAUGAGUCAACUGAAAAAGAUGCUUACUUUUUUUUUCUCUAAGUGGAUUGUAAAAUGCAUAAACCAAAGGAUGCAUUUUAGAUGUUUGAUAGAAUGAUUGUUGAACUAGAAAUUAAGUAUAAUAAAAAAUACAUUAUACAGUUAAAAAAAAAAAAAAAAAGAGCAGCAACUGGUGGUUGGUGCCACAUCCUGCUUGUCCACAGCCCUAUUCUAGGAGUCUCUUUUCCUUCUGUGUCUGGAACUGGUUCCUUCUCUAAGUAUCUGUCUCGGUCUCUUGAUCUGCCCACAUGAGUGGAUUGAGGAGAACCACAGUGAAGCUCUUCGUGUGGAUGGGGGGGUGGGGAUGGGGCUAUUAUCGAGAACAGCCCUUCCAAGUGCCCUUGAGGGAGCACAAUAUUCCCUUAGAUGAACCUUUCAUACCUCCUCACCUUCCCACUUUUCCUGUGAUACCCCUCCAUCUUUCAGGAAUCAGCUGAAUGCCUCCUCUUUGGGAAGUCCUCCCUGCCCCCCCGAGGCUGUUGGUCACUGGAAACCCUGAGAGCAGGGAUCAUACUAUGUCCCAUUUGUAUAUUUUGUAUCCCUUCCUUCCUCCUAAAUGGGGUAGGAAUUCA